This 253-nucleotide unclassified non-coding RNA is filed under the name Pseudomonadota bacterium. Its description in RNAcentral is "partial 16S ribosomal RNA". It matches the Rfam family "Bacterial small subunit ribosomal RNA", at positions 524 to 776 of the family's 1533-position model. The record is from RNAcentral. RNAcentral also lists the same sequence under 1 other name. Lineage: Bacteria; Pseudomonadati; Pseudomonadota.
UACGGAGGGUGCAAGCGUUGUUCGGAAUUACUGGGCGUAAAGCGUGCGCAGGCGGCGUAGUAAGUCAGACGUGAAAGUCCGGGGCUCAACUCCGGGAGGUCGUUUGAAACUGCUGCGCUUGAGUACGGGAGAGGGGUGUGGAAUUCCCAGUGUAGAAGUGAAAUUCGUAGAUAUUGGGAGGAACACCAGUGGCGAAGGCGACACCCUGGCCCGAGACUGACGCUCAUGCACGAAAGCGUGGGUAGCAAACAGG